CACGUAGUUAGCCGCAGCUUCUUCUUCAGGUACCGUCAUUAUCGUCCCUGCCGAAAGAGCUUUACACCCCGAAGGGCUUCAUCGCUCACGCGGCGUCGCUGCAUCAGGGUUUCCCCCGUUGUGCAAGAUUCCCCA
This 135-nucleotide ribosomal RNA is filed under the name uncultured bacterium. Its description in RNAcentral is "partial 16S ribosomal RNA". The record is from RNAcentral.